GAUGAACGCUGGCGGCGUGCCUAAUACAUGCAAGUCGAGCGAACAGAUAAGGAGCUUGCUCCUUUUACGUUAGCGGCGGACGGGUGAGUAACACGUGGAUAACCUAUCUAUAAGACUGGGAUAACUUCGGGAAACCGGAGCUAAUACCGGAUAACCUAUUGAACCGCAUGGUUCAAUAGUGAAAGGCGGCUUUGCUGUCACUUAUAGAUGGAUCCGCGCCGUAUUAGCUAGUUGGUACGGUAACGGCUUACCAAGGCAACGAUACGUAGCCGACCUGAGAGGGUGAUCGGCCACACUGGAACUGAGACACGGUCCAGACUCCUACGGGAGGCAGCAGUAGGGAAUCUUCCGCAAUGGGCGAAAGCCUGACGGAGCAACGCCGCGUGAGUGAUGAAGGUCUUCGGAUCGUAAAACUCUGUUAUCAGGGAAGAACAAAUGUGUAAGUAACUGUGCACAUCUUGACGGUACCUGAUCAGAAAGCCACGGCUAACUACGUG
RNAcentral lists this ribosomal RNA (497 nucleotides) under uncultured bacterium. RNAcentral describes it as "partial 16S ribosomal RNA". It matches the Rfam family "Bacterial small subunit ribosomal RNA", at positions 28 to 507 of the family's 1533-position model. The record is from RNAcentral.